Molecule: ribosomal RNA, 274 nt
Filed under: uncultured bacterium
Lineage: Bacteria
Description: partial 16S ribosomal RNA
Rfam family: Bacterial small subunit ribosomal RNA
Source: RNAcentral
AUACGGAGGGUGCAAGCGUUGUUCGGAAUCACUGGGCGUAAAGGGUGCGUAGGCGGUUUGAUAAGUCUGAUGUAAAAUCCUAUGGCUCAACCAUAGAACUGCAUUGGAAACUGUCAGACUAGAAUACUGAAGGGGCAGAUGGAAUUAGUGGUGUAGGGGUAAAAUCCGUAGAUAUCACUAGGAAUACCGAAAGCGAAAGCGAUCUGCUGGGAAGUUAUUGACGCUGAGGCACGAAAGCGUGGGGAGCAAACGGGAUUAGAAACCCUUGUAGUCC